GCCGGACGCGGUGGCGCGCGCCUGUAGUCCCAGCUACCCGGGAGGUUGAGGCAGGAGGAUCGCUUGAGUCCAGGAGUUCUGGGCUGUAGUGCGCUAUGCCGAUCGGGUGUCCGCACUAAGUUCGGCAUCAAUAUGGUGACCUCCCGGGAGCGGGGGACCACCAGGUUGCCUAAGGAGGGGUGAACCGGGCCAGGUCGGAAACGGAGCAGGUCAAAACUCCCGUGCUGAUCAGUAGUGGGAUCGCGCCUGUGAAUAGCCAUGCACUCCAGCCUGGGCAACAUAGCGAGACCCCGUCUCU
RNAcentral lists this signal recognition particle RNA (298 nucleotides) under Microcebus murinus (gray mouse lemur). Its description in RNAcentral is "Metazoan signal recognition particle RNA (ENSMICG00000046028.1)". It matches the Rfam family "Metazoan signal recognition particle RNA". From Rfam's summary of the family: The signal recognition particle (SRP) is a universally conserved ribonucleoprotein. It is involved in the co-translational targeting of proteins to membranes. The record is from RNAcentral. Lineage: Eukaryota; Metazoa; Chordata; Mammalia; Primates; Cheirogaleidae.